GAUUAUGGCUCAGAACGAACGCUGGCGGCGCGUCUUAAGCAUGCAAGUCGAACGGCAAGAGGUAGCAAUACCUCCUAGAGUGGCGGACUGGUGAGUAACACGUGGGUGACAUACCCUUCAGAUGGGGAUAGCUAUUAGAAAUAGUAGAUAAUACCGAAUACGAGCACAGGGGUUAGAGAUCUGUGAGGAAAGGAGCUAAGGCUCCGCUGAAGGAAUGGCCUGCGGCCCAUUAGCUAGUUGGUGAGGUAAGAGCCCACCAAGGCGAUGAUGGGUAUCCGGCCUUAGAGGGUGAACGGACACAUUGGGACUGAGAUACGGCCCAGACUCCUACGGGAGGCAGCAGCUAAGAAUAUUCCGCAAUGGACGAAAGUCUGACGGAGCGACGCCGCGUGGAUGAAGAAGGCCGGAAGGUUGUAAAAUCCUUUUGAAACUGAAGAAUAAGCGUUGUAGGGAAUGACAGCGUGGUGACAGUAGGUUUUGAAUAGGCAACGGCUAAUUACGUGCCAGCAGCCGC
This 514-nucleotide ribosomal RNA is filed under the name uncultured bacterium. Its description in RNAcentral is "bacterial SSU rRNA". It matches the Rfam family "Bacterial small subunit ribosomal RNA", at positions 15 to 518 of the family's 1533-position model. The record is from RNAcentral.